AGCGAACGCUGGCGGCAGGCUUAACACAUGCAAGUCGAGCGGGCACUGGCGGGUGUCAGCGGCCGACGGGUGAGUAACGCGUGGGAACGUGCCCUCUGGUUCGGAAUAACUCAGGGAAACUUGAGCUAAUACCGGAUACGCCCUUUUGGGCUAAGGAUUGCUGCCGGAGGAUCGGGCAGCGUCUGAUUAGCUAGUUGGUGAGGUAACGGCUCACCAAGGCGACGAUCAGUAGCUGGGCUGUGAGGAUGAUCAGCCACUCUGGGGCUGAGCCACGGCCGAGAAUCCUACGCGAUGGAGGAGAGGCGGAUACUGGACUACGGGGUCAAGGCUGAUCCAGCCCGGGCGGGUAAGUGCUGAUGGCCUUAGGGAUGUAAAGUUUUUUUAUCCGGGACGAUAAUGACGGUACCGGAGGAAUAAGCCCCGGCUAACUUCGUG
Molecule: ribosomal RNA, 435 nt
Filed under: uncultured bacterium
Lineage: Bacteria
Description: partial 16S ribosomal RNA
Rfam family: Bacterial small subunit ribosomal RNA
Source: RNAcentral